This 68-nucleotide small nucleolar RNA is filed under the name Anabas testudineus (climbing perch). The record is from RNAcentral. Lineage: Eukaryota; Metazoa; Chordata; Actinopteri; Anabantiformes; Anabantidae.
UUGGAGAUGAUGCAUCAGGAACUUCUGACUGUCACUGAUGGUUUUAGUAUUCAUACUGUCUGAUCCAG